UAUUAAGGGUGCUGGAACACCUACGCCCACGUACGCCCACACACACGUUGCUAGGGAAAGCUAACUAUGAAACUACCUGCAGGGGAGACAUGGAUCCUUCACAGGAUUAUGAAGCAACACUCUACUAGUGUGCAUUCCAAAAAUGGAGAGGAAAGGAUGAUGACAACAGAUUUUACACUUGAUUUUCAUCAUAUAGCUAAAAGAAGUUCCGCUUAGGAAACCAGUAGAGCUAUGGACUUGAUUGUUUGUUUGCAGGUGCACUACACACAGCUCUUCAACAUUACGAAGAGCUUUUGUUGUAAAAUCCCUUUGUUAUCUAUUUAUGAGAAUUUUUUGUCAUGACACACCCUCUAGAGAAAAAUCUAGACCGUAUAUGGACAAAGUCAGCCCGUAACUUUGUUCACCUUACCUAAUUAUAGCAGCAUGCUAAAUAUAGACCAAGUCCUGUACGUAGAUAGUCAGAUCGAACACUUUUUAUAUCUGGCUCUAGCGUACGCGUACGCUAGAGUAUAAAUUAAGACGUAAGCCUGUAGACCACGCCCCAAUUGCGUACGUAGAGUGCAGAAUUAGCGUUGAAGAUCAAGAGCCAUUUGUUAGUAGCCUGAAGAGAAGAGAUAGGCAACGCUGGGGCUACAGACAGCGCUGACAAUUGGCUGGCUCAUAGACUUCUGCCAGGGUUGGCUGCUGUUUUGAUGGACUUUGAAGAGCUUCCAUGAAAGCCUGUGUGUAAUACCACUCUUGGACCUCAGUGUCACCAGAGUGCUGUGCUCCAGGCCAAGUUGGACCAGUCUCUUUGUCUGGGCUGCAGUAAUGCUUGGCUUCCCCGGGCAUCAGAUUGGUGGAACCUCCGCUUUUGUGAGGUCCACACAGCUCCAUCUGCUUAUUAGCAGACCGAAUAGGGAGGUUGGGGAGGCAGCUGAUCAGUGAAUGGUGUGUCGUAACUGCCUCCAUCGCCAGGACAUCUGGAAAUGAGCUUCUGACCAUUCUGCUAACUUGGUGGCAAGGAUCUCCAGCUUCUGAAGGAUGCGAUGCCAUUGUGUGCUGGAACAUGGUGGAAGACCCAACCAGCCACUCAACCGGACGUAUCAACAUGCAGGUGGCCAUUGAGGAGAAAGGACAACACUGGAUAGUGCCAUGAACAGCUCGAAUCGUGGAUAGUACACGUCUAAAGCACUGAAGAGAAACGUCUCCACUCGACACAAAUGAAGACAGUGUGUAUUAACAUUAAAAGACAAUCCAACCUGCUGUGUGACUAAUGCUAGUUGAGGAACUCGGACACUCGUGCUGAUUGUACUGAGACUGGGGUCUAUUGGCACACUUACGUUUCUCCCAUCUACUACUGAAGGCACUCCUUUGCUACAAAUCUGGCUCUGUAUUUAUUGGAUUGUGUUAUUUUGUUAUUGAUUUAUUAGUUUGUGUAGCUACCUGAUUUUCUUUUGCAGCUUGUAGUUAAUUUAAUUGAAGACAUUCUCACAAAACCAC
Molecule: long non-coding RNA, 1482 nt
Organism: Halichondria panicea
Lineage: Eukaryota; Metazoa; Porifera; Demospongiae; Suberitida; Halichondriidae
Exons: 3
Source: RefSeq, a predicted model, not a curated record